AAUUCUCAAAGCAAGUCUUUUGUUCGUUCGAUCGGCUUUGCUUUGGACUUGGAGGUCUUUGCAGAUUCACGUCUGCUCCUCUCAAAUAGAUUAGCUGGAUCUCCAUGAACUUGGUUCCACUCGGCGUGAUAAGUAUCACUCGCCGAGGACACCCGUUAAAAAAGGUGGCCAGGGCUCGAGGAUGAGCCGCUUCCAACGGUCUAUUAGAUUAGACGACGCUUUAUG
Molecule: unclassified non-coding RNA, 225 nt
Filed under: uncultured Raffaelea
Lineage: Eukaryota; Fungi; Ascomycota; Sordariomycetes; Ophiostomatales; Ophiostomataceae
Description: sequence contains ITS2
Source: RNAcentral